CAGCAGCCACGGUAAUACGGAGGAUCCAAGCGUUAUCCGGAAUCAUUGGGUUUAAAGGGUCCGUAGGCGGUCUUGUAAGUCAGUGGUGAAAGCCCAUCGCUCAACGGUGGAACGGCCAUUGAUACUGCAGGACUUGAAUUAUUGGGAAGUAACUAGAAUAUGUAGUGUAGCGGUGAAAUGCUUAGAGAUUACAUGGAAUACCAAUUGCGAAGGCAGGUUACUACCAAUUGAUUGACGCUGAUGGACGAAAGCGUGGGUAGCGAACAGGAUUAGAUACCCCUGUAGUCCCUGUCUCUUAUAC
RNAcentral lists this ribosomal RNA (301 nucleotides) under uncultured bacterium. RNAcentral describes it as "partial 16S ribosomal RNA". It matches the Rfam family "Bacterial small subunit ribosomal RNA", at positions 509 to 807 of the family's 1533-position model. The record is from RNAcentral.